RNAcentral lists this long non-coding RNA (200 nucleotides) under Elaeis guineensis (African oil palm). RNAcentral's name for it is "long non-coding RNA (EGUI_LNC066291)". The record is from RNAcentral. Lineage: Eukaryota; Viridiplantae; Streptophyta; Magnoliopsida; Arecales; Arecaceae.
ACCCCAUUUAUUUUUGCAUUAAGAUUGGAGGAGUCCUUCUUAAGUACUCUUAAUUUCCUUCUUUAUUCCACACAUUCCUUUGUUUUUUGCGCCAUCAGAUGGUACCUUAGAAUAUGUGGGGCACAGAAGAGAAGGAAGAGUCUUUCUCUAUGAUAGAACUCACAUGCCAAAAUUAAUUGGGACACCACAUAUUUUUGUGC